CCUACGGGAGGCAGCAGUGAGGAAUAUUGGUCAAUGGACGCAAGUCUGAACCAGCCAAGUAGCGUGCAGGAUGACGGCCCUCCGGGUUGUAAACUGCUUUUAGUUGGGAAUAAAAGGGGGCUCGUGAGCCCCGUAUUGUAUGUACCAUCAGAAAAAGGACCGGCUAAUUCCGUGCCAGCAGCCGCAGUAAUACGGAAGGUCCGGGCGUUCUCCGGAUGUACUGGGUUUAAAGGGUGAGUAGGCCGGAUUUUAAGUCAGCUGUGAAAGUCCGGGGCUCAACCGUGGAAUGGCAGUUGAAACUGGAGGCCUAGAGUGCACACAGGGAUGCCGGAAUUCAUGGUGUAGCAGUGAAAUGCUUAGAUAUCAUGAAGAACACCGAUCGCGAAGGCAAGUGUCCGGGGUGCAACUGACGCUGAGGCUCGAAGGUGCGGGUAUCAAACAGGAUUAGAUACCCGGGUAGUC
RNAcentral lists this ribosomal RNA (462 nucleotides) under uncultured bacterium. Its description in RNAcentral is "partial 16S ribosomal RNA". It matches the Rfam family "Bacterial small subunit ribosomal RNA", at positions 338 to 795 of the family's 1533-position model. The record is from RNAcentral.